UUUUUUUUUAAUUACUCAUCCAGAUCUGUCAAAAUCAGCUAAGAAUUUGCUCCCACUUCCAUUGAAGUGGUAAGCGGAGACAAAAUGAGAUAAAAAUUUUACCAGCCCCAUCCCGAAAAUCGACUCCAUUUGCAAUUCUAAGUAGGAGAUAGAAUCCCAACAUGUUGAUCUACUGUCACGCCCCGGAUUAUUCGUUUCCCUGGGCACGCCAAUAGAAUCGCCGUAUAUAUAAAAAAAUUUUCUGUAUACGAAGCGAUAGCUGUACCUGUACCUGUAAUCAUACAACACUACAACCAGUAAUGUAGAGCUGCUAAAAAGAACAAUAUAUAAAUAAAACUGGUUCACUAUACAUACAUAGCAUCUUGGUACAAAAACACUCGCUCCAGCGAGAAUCUAACAUCAGUAUGUAUAAGAACCAAAAACUACAACUACCUAUAGCUGGUAUAUUUCUAAAUCAGCAGCAAAACGGGAAGGGAUCUAGCUCGCGACUCCCUUUCCAUGAUCGAUAUCCGCGAUAGCAGCAGCCGAUGAAGAAGACUCUGCAAAAAGAGGGGUAACAACUGGGCGUGAGAACUACUGCAAAAGAAGUAGUCUUCAGUAGGUACCGCCCUCAAUCUCAUCGGCUCACCCACCAAGUCUACAGAAAGUAUGCACAAAUGAUAGUAAGGGAACUGAAAACAAUCUACAGCUGUAUACUACUAUACUAUCAUAAUACAACACUAACUAUCUGUAGUAUAAUGCAAUCUCAGACCCAAUCUCACUAGGGACUGUGAACACAUCCGCCCAUGGGACUGUGAAUACACCCGUCCCGCCUGUCAAAGUUAUACUGCUACCCCACGCUAAGCCGUCCGUGGAGAGCAAGUCCAACCAGGACACAAUGACACCAACGCAAACGCACAAAGCCCGAUUCCGGAGUGGCACUCGUGGGCAUUACCUAACCGAGUAUGCUAGCGUGUCUCUGUCGAGCUCAAUCAAUCUCUCACAGGCUAUAGUCAAGUAAACAAGGUCUAAAAAUCCAACUCACGUGCCCUCGGCACAAUCUGAUGCAAAAACAGUAAUCUGGGUCCACCGUCAACCCCGACAGCAUCCGAUAGUCCGGAACAACCUAAAACACUACUGUAAAAAUAAGCUCGGUAUCUCAGCACGAGCAUAAAAAUAUUCUACACUAUCUUAGGUAUCCACCGUCCACAAACUGCAGCAAUACAAACAAAUUACAGCUCCUACAGCUAAAUCUGGUAGUUUUAACAUAUGACAAUGUAGAAUCGCUGGUUUUCUCCUUAGUCACUUCCAAGUCCAACAUGUAUAAUUUAUCUAACUCACAACAGCAUGCUCUAAAUUCAGAUUUUGUUUAACAUGCUAAUCGAUGAAUUCGAGCUAAAAAUGUGAUAUACAUAGGCUGAAAAUAUACAUGUUGAUUAUGCAUACACUUAGGAGGAGAAUCCGAUGAUUAACCUACCUCUAGCGCUAAUCCACGACUGCGAGGAGGUCACGAAGUUGCUGGAGGCCUCAGCAGAAAUCACCCACAACCAGGAACUCUGCUACUCAAAGGAUCUAAAUGUUAAAACACCAAAAAUUUUCGUACUACAUACAAUUUCAGCAUUUAAGCUUAAAUUCACCUUAAUCACAAAGUUAAUUUCACCUUCCAAUUUUCAAAUUAGGUGAGAAAAGGUCCCAAAUCCUAUGAACUGUGAUGGAGUAUCACCCUCUGGUCCGAAACCGAGCUUCCUCGAAAGAUUGCACCAAGAAACCCACAAUUCACAGAUUCAGUCCAAAAACACCAGCAGCACAGUAAAAAGCCAAAUUAACCAAGCUAACCUCAACCAAAUUCUGUCAAAAUGGGCUCCACGAAUUUCUCUUGAAGUCCAGAAUCCACCAAACCAAGUUUCGUGGCAAACGGAGCUUCCUACGUCGCACACGAGCCAAAACACCGAAGAUCGCUGCUGGAAAACUGCUAGAACAGCAAUCCUCAAGGUGGAAAGUGGGCCAAUUGAAAAAAUUUGAGGGAAUUUGAGAGUUACGAGACAAUUUCAAGCUUUCCUGUGAAAGAAAGGUGAAAAAGCUUCUCAGAGGUCAACUACAAGCUAUUUAUAGGGAGGAGAAAGGGUGAAAUAGGCCCAAGGAACAAGAACUGUUAACCUGCUGCCCUACAGAAACAACAAGUUUCGAGCGCCCGGAAUCAUGUUCUGGGCGUCCGAAACAUCCAAGCUGCACAAAUCCUUCUCUUCGGUUCCUCCGCCCGCAGUGUGCUGUGCCCCUAACGUGGUCCGGCGGAUCCCACCUACCACCAACACGUGUCAAAGAGAAUGAUAUUUCCAAAGUAAACUUUCGGAUCCAUAUCUGGGCGGCCGAAACCAGGAUUCGAAUUGCCUUCCAGUUCUGCUCAGACCAACACUCAAGUUCUGGGCGACCCAAACCCAGUUUUGGGCGGCCGAAUCUGGCAAAACUCCAGUUUUGCCUAUUUGAGUGCGCCAAGUCCAUUUCUGCAUCUAUUUCGUGCAGAAAUGACUCCGACUCAAUCCGACACUCUCCAGAUGUGUCGACCAGUCACUAAUACUGUAGCCAAUCCUAUCCAAACCUCCGAAACAUUACAUCCUCCCCCACUACAAAAGUUUCGUCCUCGAAACUUAAUACAUACCUCAAUCCUGAGUCUCAAACAACAAGGGGUAGGACUCCCGCAUCACUGCCUCCGGCUCCCAAGUCGCCUGCCGCUCCUCAUGAUUACUCCACUGCACCUUUACAUAAGUGAAAACCCGAUUGCGUAAUUCUUUCGUUUCACGAGCCAGAAUUCGUACUGGUCGCUCCUCAAAUCUCAAGUCCUCGCCAAGCUCUAGCGGAGUGAAGUCAAUCAUGUGGGAGGGGUCGAACACAUAUCUCCUCAAAAUCGAGACAUGAAAAACAUCAUGGAUGCCGGCCAGUCGUGGGGGUAGAGCAAUCCUAUAAGCAACUGGCCCAACUCGCUCCAAUAUCUCAAAAAGGCCUACAACGCGUGGACUGAGCUUUCCACGCACUCCAAAUUUGUGUAUCCCUCUAGACGGCGAGACUUUCAAAAACACAUGAUCUCCAACCUGAAACUCUAAGUCUCGUCUCCUGGUAUCGGCGUAGCUCCUCUGGCGGCUCUGAGCUGUCAAAAGGUGUCGUCGUACAGCUCUAACCUUUUCCUCAGCCUUUAGCAAAAUCUCAGGCCCUAGCGUCUUUCUUUCACCCACAUCACUCCAAAACAAAGGGGAUCGACAUCUGCGUCCAUACAAUGCCUCAAACAGAGCCAUCUGAAUGCUUGUUUGAUAGCAUGUCCUCCAUAGUCUGUAUGGUCCGCUUUGACUGACCAUCUGUCUGUGGCUGAAACGCCAUGUUGAAGUGCAACUGGGUACCCAAGGCUGUCUGAAGACUCCUCCAAAAGUGCGAAACGAACCUCGGGUCUCGAUUCGAUACAAUCGAAGUAGGCACGCCAUGCAACCUCACAAUCUCAUCCAGAUACAACUGAGCGAGUCUCUCUCUGGACUAAGUGGUCUGUACUGGUAGGAAGUGAGCAGACUUAGUCAGUCUGUCCACUAUCACCCAAAUAGCAUCGAAACCACUUUGUGCUCUAGGUAAUCCCACGACAAAGUCCAUCGUGAUCUACUCCUAUUUCCACUCGGGCACUGGCUGACUUUGAAGCUUGCCAGCAGAUACCUGAUGCUCUGCCUUUACCUGUUGACAAGUCAGACACUGAGCCACAAAUCUGUUAAUGUCCCUCUUCAUUCCAUUCCACCAAAAGUGUGCCUUCAAAUCCUUAUACAUCUUGGUUCUACUAGGGUGAACCAUAUAAGGUGAAUAAUGAGCCUCUCUCAAAAUCUCCUCUCGGAUCUCUGAAUCCAUAAGCACACACAAUCGGUCCCUGUACCGCAGUACUCCCGAACUGUCCACAACAAAACCCUCUGACUGUCCCCUCUCUAAUUGCUCUCGAAUCCUCAGCAAGUACGAGUCUCCACUCUAUUUCUCCCGGAUCCUAUCCAACAGAAUGGGCUGCAAGACCAUAGACAUCAGUCUCACAGUAGACCUAAAGGACAUAAUCUCGAGCCUCAACCGCUGCAGCUCCUCAAGUAACGGCUUCUACUGAGUAAUCAUCAUGCUCAAGCUCUACACUGACUUCCUGCUCAAUGCAUCUGCCACCAUAUUCGUCUUGCCGGGAUGAUACUUAAUACUAAUAUCUUAGUCCUUCAAUAACUCCAACCACCGGUGUUGCCUCAGGGUCAACUCUUUUUGGGUGAACAGAUACUUGAGACUUUUAUGAUUAGUGAAAAUCUUACAGUGCUCGCCAUACAGAUAAUGCUGCCACAACUUCAAAGCAAAAACCACUGCGGCAAGCUCCAAGUCAUGCGUAGGGUAAUUCUUCUCGUAAUCCUUCAAUUGCGGUGAAGCAUAAGCAAUUACCCUACCAUGCUGCAUCAGUACACAACCCAAACCACUGUGUGAUGCAUCACUAUAAAUCACAAAUCCUUCCCCCAUAACUAGGAGGGCAAGGAUAGGAGCCGACAUCAACCUCUGUCUCAGCUCAUUAAAGCUUCUCUGACAAUCCUCACUCCAGAUGAACUUAAAUCUCUUUCGAGUCAAUCGAGUGAGGGUGUGGAAAGUUUCGCAAAGCCUUCCACAAACCGACGGUAAUAUCCAGCAAGUCCAAGGAAACUCCUCACCUCUGUCACCGUCGUCGGUCUGGGCCAAUCCCGAAUAGCAUCAAUCUUCUUUGGGUCUACUGCUACUCCAACUACAGAAAUAACAUGGCCCAAGAAAGAAACCUCCCGUAACCAAAACUCGCACUUCUUCAACUUAACAUACAACUUCUUCUCUCUCAAAAGCUGUAGCACAAUCCUCAAGUGCUCCUCAUGCUCGGCGUCACUCCGGAAGUAUACCAAGAUAUCAUCGAUGAAUACAACCACAAAUCUAUCCAAGAACGACUUGAACACUCAGUUCAUCAAAUCCAUAAAUACGACAGGGGCAUUCGUCAAUCCAAAAGGCAUCACAGUAAACACAUAAUGCCCGUAUCGAGUCCGAAAAGCCGUCUUGGGAACAUCCUCGGCCCUCACCCUCAGCUGGUGGUAACCUAACUGUAAAUCAAUCUUCAAGAAGACACAAGAUGCUUGUAGCUGAUCAAACAGAUCAUCAAUGUGUGGCAAAGGAUACUUAUUCUUGAUGGUCACUUUAUUCAGCUCCCGAUAAUCCACACACAAUCUAGGUGAACCAUCCUUCUUCUUCACAAAUAACAUUAGCGCUCUCCAAGGUGAUACACUGGGUCUCACAUACCCAUUAUCCAUCAGAUCCUGAAGCUGCACCUUUAGCUCUCUCAGCUCGGCCGGUGCCAUCCGGUAGGGUGUCUUCGAGAUUGGUGCAGUUCCAGGAACUACAUCAAUCACAAACUCGAUCUCCCUCUCCGGCAGCAUCGUCGUCAACUCCGGGAGAAACACAUUCGAAAACUUGCGGACUAUAGGGAUAUCCUCGAGUCUCGGCGUCGCCGUAGGCACCUCCACAACCGUCGUCAGAAAAGCAACACAUCCUCUACUCAUCAGCUGUCGAGCCCUCGCCGAAGAAAUCCAAGUGGCAAACAACGUACUCCUGCAGCCUCUGAAAGUGAACACCUCCUGGUCUGGCUCGCGGAACGUCACAGUUCUCGCUCCACAAUCAAUAGUAGCAUAGUACCGCGCCAGCCAAUACAUGCCGAACACAACGUCAAAGUCCUACAGCUGCCCUAAAACCAACAGGUCUGCGGGCAUGAUCCAAGAAUCUAACUGCACCGGACACGACCAACAACACUCUGCAACCUGUAAAACAUGGUCGGGAAUUUGCACCUCUCAUGCCUGUGACAAUGACCCUAACUUUAGACCAUGCAACAAUACAAAUGCUCGGCUAACAAAAGAAUGUGAUGCACCGAUAUCAAAAAGUGUACGAGCUCGAAUAUCAGAAAUCAAAAUGAUACCUGCCACCACUCGGUCGGCUGCUGUAGAAUCCUCCACCUUAGCUGCGUAUACCCUGCCACUCGGAGCCUGCUGUCGUCGCUCACCCUGACGCGGCAUGGACAUCCUGUCCUCCCGGCAGUAACUCGGUGCUGCCCCAUAAGACUACUGGGAUGCUGGCUGAGCUGAUGCUGUCGAUAGUGCUAGUGAUGCUGCUCGGGGACAGGCUGACCUCAUAUGUCUAGGCUGACCACAAAGAAAACAACGACCCUCUCUGUGCUCACACUGUCGAGGCCAGUGUGGUCCCCCACAAAUCACACACUGCGGAGUCCGCAGUGCCUGCCCUGCUGACGUGAUCCUCUAAAACGCUGAGACCCCGAAGACCCACGACCCUGAGAACGUGAUCGUGGAGGCCUCGGCGGACGUCUACUGCUCGACUGUCCUCCGUCAUAUGGAAAAGGGCGCUUCCUAUCCUGACUCUGCCCGGCACCUGAGUCCUCUCCCGAAUAGAUGCAUCACCUCUCUCUACCCAUAAGGCCUGCUCCAUAGACGCGUCCAAGGUCCUCAACCUCUGCGCCUGUACCAAUUUGAAAAUCUCUGGUCUCAAUCCUCUCUAAAAAAGAUACACCCUGUGUGCCUCAUCUCUGGCUACAAAAGGAUCACAGUUCAGGAGUCGAGUAAACUCACGAAUGUACUCCUGAACUGGUCGCUCCCCCUGUUGGAUUCUCUUCAGAUCCUCCUCGAGCUUCUGCUUUAUACUGUUGGAAAAAUAUAUCCCAUACAACAUGCCACAAAACUCAUCCCAUCGCAUCUACGAAGCCACCAACCUAUAGUCUCGCCUCACCCUCCUCUACCAAGCAUGUGCAUCACCGGCCAAGUAGUGAACUCCAAGGUGUACUUGCUCCCGCUCAGGAAUGAACAAAUCCUCAAACAGCUUCUCCAUCGCACUGACCCAGCCCUCGACAACCCAAAUCUCCGUGCAGCUACCAUCAUAGGUCGGGGGAUCAAAACGACGAAAAUGGGCAAGUCUCUCAGCCAUCCGCUCCUGCUUAGCCUCAGUCAUCUGCGGUGCCUCACCAAAAGAUGCAACUAGCGCUGUGGGAACUGCCACUGGUGGGGGUACAGCUGCGGCUGGUGCGGCCACUGGAGUAGUCUGGGGUGGAACUGGCUGCUCUGGUGCUGUGCUCUGCGGCGGAGCUAACCUCUCACACAUCCUCUGUAACAACGCCCCCUAUUGCCUUGUCACCUCUGUCAAGACAGCAAACUGCUCUCUCAAAUCAAGGGGUGCACUCGCCUCUGGUCGUGCACUCGGCUCUGCCUGCUCAGGCAUCUCAGUAGGUGCGGCACGAUCCCUGGUCAACGGUCGACCUCCGACAAUACAUAGCUGUCAAAAAAAAAAAGAGGCAGAUACAAAUACAAACACUCUCGACCCAAUCAAACGAAAGUCUAGAAGGCGGGGCCCCUGUUUCUCCUCAAAAUUAUGUCGUUUGUAGCCGACAUAAUUUUUUCGUCGCCGAAACAGACACUCCUUCAGUCACUAACUCCACUCCAGGAGGAGUUAAACUAAUUAAUCACUGACUUUUGCGAUAAAUCACGCCUCUCGUGUCUUGCCUUCCUAAGGUUCACCAAACUUAGAGUUCCUAGAUCCCAACGACCUAAUGUUAAGCUCUAAUACCAACUUAAUCUGUCACGCCCCGGAUUAUUCGUUUUUCCGAGCAUGCCAACAGGCCCGCCGUAUACAUAGGAAUAUUCCCUGUAUACGAAGCGAUAGCUGUACUUGUACUUGUAAUCAUAUAACACUACAACCAGUAGUGUAGAGCUGCUAAAAAAAUAAUAUAUAAAUAAAACCGGUUCACUAUACAUAUAUAGCAUCCUGGUACAAAAACACUCGCUCCAGCGAGGAUCUAACAUCAGUAUGUACAAGAACCAAAAACUACAACUACCUAUAACUGGUAUAUCUCUAUCAGCAGCAAAACGGAAAGGGAUCUAACUCGCGACUCUCUUUCCACGAUCGAUAUCCGCGACAGCAAAGCGGUUAAAAGUACUUGUUAAAAGUGAUUAAGGCUUCGUUUGGGAUUGCGGGGAGAUUGCGUUACGUGCGGUGAGAAAGUACGUUGAAAAAAUAUCCUGUUUGUUUCCGUAUGUAAUAUUGCGUUCCGCAUAUCGCGAUGAAGCAGUUAUGAUAUAUUUUCUGCGGUCUCACCGGAGAACGCAGAAGCAUAUCUCUAUAUACUUUUUCCUCAACUCCAUUUUAUCUAAUAGCGUUAGAGAGGCCUCAAUACCAAACUAAGCCUAAGUAUAUAUAUUAAACUCAUUUUGACAUUAAAUGUAAUAAAAUAUACAAAAUAAUAAAAAUAAUAAAAUAUAUUGUCACGCCCCGGAUUACUCGUUUUUCCGGACACGCCGACAAAUCCGCCGUAUACAAAGGAAUUUUUUCUGUAUACGAAGCGAUAGCUGUACCUGUAAUUAUACAAUACUACCACCAGUAGUAUAGAGCUGCUAAAAGAAAUGAGAUAUAUAAAACAGAAGUUCACUAUACAUACAAACAUCUAGGUGAACCAACAUACUCGCUCCAGCGAGUUAAAACAAAAGUAUGUAUAUGAACUCAAAAACUACAACUACCUGUAGCUGGUCCUCCUCUAUCUUAGCAACUCGUCAGGAAGGGCUCUAACUCGCAACACUCUUUCCACGAUUAGACUCA
Molecule: long non-coding RNA, 8625 nt
Filed under: Ananas comosus (pineapple)
Lineage: Eukaryota; Viridiplantae; Streptophyta; Magnoliopsida; Poales; Bromeliaceae
Description: long non-coding RNA (ACOM_LNC038530)
Source: RNAcentral